AAUUCCCUAAUUAAUUGCCUGGUGUCUUGACCUCUCACUUGACGAGGUUCCAGAGCUUAUUACCGCUCCGUCCCGCUCUAAUCGAGGCCCAUUACAGAUGCUCAGCGGACUGGAAGUGCCAGAUGUGGGCGAAGGAGAAAGGAGGCCGCUGUCGGCUGUCCGCUGAAUUGCAUCGUGAGGUUAGAAAUUUCACGGAUAAGUAGCUCAGAUGUUUGCAGAAAUUGUAAAUGGUGUGUUCUGACCUCCGCUGGUGGUUUUUAAUGAGAGUGAAGUGCAGAGGUGUGAAGCUGCUGCAGAGGAGAGAAGUCCUGCCGACUUCCAGCGGCUUUCAUGCUUCUAAUAAUUAGAUCGCUUUUGACUUUUAGAUACAAAAUCGCACCAAAUAAGCUCUUAAACUCCACCAUCCUUCACAGAGAGAAGCUUGCUGCACGAGCGGCCGAGGCUUCCUGUCGCUCCUCCGCCUGCGGUCGGCUCGCUCUGCACGGAGACGCCGGUCGGCGCUGAACGCCGUUCCCCUGCCUACGCGGAUAUCGCCGCAGCCAUGCACGCCUGCCUCCGUGCCUCCGUGCUCGGCGCCCUGCAUGCAUUAUUCACAGCCAAAUUAAAAUACCGCGGGUGAGAGUUGCAUGCGGCGGCAGCUGAAUGGCCGAGGUGCCGUCGCAGCAGCUGACAGCGUCUGUCACAGAGUUAGAACUUUGUUUUUUUCAGUGCAGCUGCCUAAGUGAGAGGGAUUAAGUUAACUCCCUGCUCAGAGGGAGAGCAGGCCCGGAUUAGGGCGCCGGGCAUGGACACACAGGGCAUUCAAGCAGGAGCCCCAGCUUUUUAAAGAAGAGCCGUGGGGGGGGGGGGGGCAGCGGUGCAGGGACGGCGUUGCUUCAACAAAUACACUGGCGUGUGUAACGUGUGUCAACAAUCACUUCUGCUUCCUGCACGUUCCUGCGUCUCCCGUUUUAACCGGAGCCCCCCCCCCCAGCAGCAGAGGUUAUGGAAAUAAAGCAGCAUCUCUCUUGUCAGUCAAAUAGUUUCCUUCUCCUUGUGUUGAACAAAGGAUCAAAGGUCAAAGAGUCAACCUGAUGGAGACGUUCCUUCGCUCCUUCCUCUGAACACCCGUCCAGCGAGAGGACGGAGAUGAGGACAGGUGGUGAGACAGCGUGGGAACCACAACCGACACCCGCUCAUGAAACCCGAGCUGGUUCCUGCAUCGCGUUCCAUCCGCUCGAUGUCCCUAAAUCACCCGUCUGUGAGCGCGGGAGGGACCGUCGUCCCCGAGUCUAAAAGUUACGACCAAAACAGGAGCUUCUUGCCACAUAAAGUGUUCCAAAGCCACGUCGCGUCCCCGCGCUCUUAUACUUCCAUCUAUCGCCCUUCGUGUGCGGCGCAGACACACUUCAUCAACGUCAGCAGAAGUCUGGUGUUAAAAUAGACCAGCCGAUGAUUUUCACUCCCCACAGAACCUGCCACGUAGAUUCCCCGUCGCCGGCGUCAAGCCGGACAUCCGAGCGCGUAACGUCCUCCUCCGCCUGUCGCCUCGUGGCUGCAGGGAGACGAACCUCGCUCACGUCAGCUCCGUGACAUCGAAGCGACCGCCGCGCGGCGGCAGACCGCCGGUGACGGACGCCUUUUCGUCUCCGGCAGUCAGGCCGCGGCGGGCGGCCCGCGGACGACUGUAAUCGCACCGACAGGUGACACGUAUGUGGAAACCAGAAGAUGAUGGGGGAGACUCCUCAGAUCACGUGACCUGCGCCUCACAUGAAGAGACGUUGGGUGACACGCGGGACAGAAGUCCUCUUUGGGGGUUUGGUGCCAUUAAGCCGAUUGACUUCUAAAUCUAAAGUGAUCUACGAAGUUAAUUGUAGAUCACCGCAGGGGUUUUACCUUCAUCACAAAGGGAAGCUCCUCCUUUGUGUCCUUUUGUUAAUGUCCACGAGAUCCCUCCAUUCAGGUUUAGUUUUUACAAACAGCGGCAAAAACUAACUAAUCCGAUUUUUAUUUCAACAGAAAACAAAAUGCAAAGCUGCCAAUCGAUUAUUAAAACAGAAAUCACUCGUAAAUCAAAUCAGAGUGUGGUUCGCGCUGCACGUCUGUGUUUUGGACAUCGAUCUACAGGCCUCCCCUUACCCCCUUGAAUCCUCGCCUCGCGGCCUUUUUUCGCCCACUUCCCCUUGAAUUGUCCUCUGAGCGUUGACAGCAGAGUGCGCCGUCACAAUGGCGUGUUGGUGUUUUGCUCGACGAGCUUCAGAGCUCUUCGUCAUCCGAGGCCCAAUUAGCAACCGGGGGAGGAAUAUAUGCUGGUGUAGGUGGGUCAUUAGUUGGAAAUGAAGAAAAGUCCCCCCUCGCCCCCCGACUGUUAGAACGGGCUCGUGUCUCGCUGUCGAAUCCCCUCGUUGUUUAUUAGCGGGAGUCGAGUCUUCUGCACAUGUGAGCCGGCGGAGCUUGUGAUCGUCCUCUGGACGGAGCAGAGGACUCUCGCCUGUUGACAGACCACUGAGCCCUGAUGUCGGACUGUGACAGCCGCCCCGCACACGCUUUACAAAGGGGCCUCUGGCGGGCUGGUUAGCCAUCAUGGCGGCUCGGCUCGCAGCGAGAGGACCUCUAACGCCGUCCCGGCUGGGGGACCAUUAGGGAAAUGUCUGGAGGGCUCCUCGUGUCUCCGGCCCGGCUGCACUGGUCCCAUUAACGAGGGGGGUGUCAGCACACCGGAGGUGAUGGGUGUGACGAGCGAGGCUCGGCCCCCCGCACGGGAUCGUCUUCAGUCCAACGCCGCGGGGACGCUCGUCUUCGGCCUAGUUUGUGCUGAACUUCAGUAACUAUCUGUGUGGCCUGUUGGAGACGCACUUUUUGCCGGUGUGACGCUCCAUGAAGACUUGAAGACAUGAAGUCAUGAAGACUGGAAGACAUAAAGGCUUGAAGACAUGAAGGCUUGAAGACUUGAAGGCAUGAAGACAUGAAGACUUGAAGGCAUGAAGACAUGAAGACUUGAAGGCAUGAAAACAUGAAGACUUGAAGGCAUGAAGACAUGAAGACAUGAAGGCAUUAAGACAUGAAGACUUGAAGGCAUGAAGACAUGAAGACUUGAAGGCAUGAAGACAUGAAGACUUGAAGACAUGAAAACAUGAAGGCAUGAAGACAUGAAGACUUGAAGACUUGAAGGCAUGAAGACAUGAAGACUUGAAGACUUGAAGGCAUGAAGACAUGAAGACAUGCAGGCAUGAAGGCAUGAAGACAUGAAGGCGAGGACAGACGAUGAGGUCGCCGAGCGGAUCGGAUGUUCCUUUGUACGCAGAUGGAAUGAUGUCACACGACCUCGGCGCCGUGGCGUUAACGCGGCACCGUAGGACAAUUGAAGCGCGUCCUCUGUGUCCGUCCCUGGUGCCGCCUCUUUGAGCAAGUCUCUGCCCACUUCAGCUUUUUGGUAAAAGAAAAAGCACUUCAGGGGAAUCGAACCAAGCAGAAAUGUAAAUUGUGACGGUUACGUCCCAUCCAGAUGUUGUGUAAGGAGACCCCCCCCCCCCCCCACACACACCUCCCAACGGGGGAAACAAGCAUGUGUCCUCAAAGCCAGGUGAUGCAGAGUGACCCCUGACCUCUGGGACACCCUCAUCCAGGUGUUUGGACUCGUGGUUUCUGCUGCUUCCUCUCAGCCCCCCCUCCCUCCCCCCCCUUUACUUUAAUGUUUGACAGUCUCUUCCUGCCGUCACGCAGAAGGUGGCGAGGGUCUUCUUCCUGCUUUUUGAGGCAUUAAUAACCUUCCGCUCCACUGACUCCCCGGAGCACAACCUCAUUACGGCUCCUAGGCUCCUUCUCUCAGAGGAAGGAGGCGUCGGUGAGCGGCUCCUUGUUGCUGACUGAAACACAUGUCCGCCGUGUUAUCUGUCUCCGGGACAGGAAGUGACUGCUGGCUGCUGUUGGCGGCAGUCUGCGCUGGGCGGCGGCACCGUGGGCUUUCACAGGCCGGAUGAAGACACCCGCUUCAAGAUUCCUCUGUGGGACAAGCAGUGAGCUACAUAGUCUCUACUAACCCUCCUAAGAAAUACAUCACUCACUUUGUCUCCAUAAGAAUCUAGAAGAUAAAACGAAGCGUGUUGAAUCCAAACUUCUCGGAUGUGAAGACGAUCUUCAUCGAACCACCUGGUUGAGGAAUCACGUCAGUGUUUUCAUCUCGUGGCGUGAAUUCAAACUGGAGGUCAAGUGCCUUGCCCAAGGGCAGCGGGUCACAGAGCAGGACCUGAAGGCUUUGGCUUCUACCAGCUGAUUAUCAGCACGCAACCAACGGUUUGAUCCGAGCGACAGCAAACUGACCUGAGAUCAUUUAUCACUUUUUCUGCAAAAAUAUGUUGAGAAAUAGUCGAUAAGAAAUGAAAUAAGAAUAAGAAGAGAAGUUCUAAAUGUCUGAUGGAGCAUUCAGUGUAGAAACGUAUCAUAUAUAACUAUAUAUAUAUAUGAAUACAUGUGUAUAGAUGUCUUUGUUGUGUUCUGUCCAUAGUUUGACUUUACAUUCAUUGAGUUGACUUCAGGCUCGUUGGUGAGGAGUCAGCACGACGUCACGUGGCCCCCAAACGGGCCCCGGCGCUGCUGCUCCUGAGUGAAGGCUCGUAAUUAGAGGCGGUUGGCGUCGAUGCAUCUGGGUUAUUUAGCUGAAAAGAUCAUUUCUGGGAUGUUUUACAUAAUCCUUAAAACACACAAGGAAGCCCUGCUCUCGAGGAAUAAAUAUGAAUGAAUGGAGAAGCUAAUGGACGUGUUGACGGCGUUUCGGUAAACCUAAUAAGAAUUGAUUCUGGGUUGUGAGAACCCCCCCCCCCCCCUCUGCUUUACAUGUGUAAUGAACCUGCCUGAGCAUUGAUGAAAAACAAAAAUUGGAGGAGUAAAUCUGCUUAAGGAGCCCGUCUGCGCUCUUUGUCUUGGCCGGCACUUACCGAGCUGCUAUAUGUCUCUUAAAUCACCAAAUUGCUUUCUGUCCCUUUUCUAUUUCCCCCCACGAGGGCGUGCGGGCAUUAGUCGAAAGUUUUUUCCCGCAAAUAUUUAAUCCUCGCCGUGACUGACAAUGUUGUCAGACCUCCGGACGAGUUUCACGCCGUUAUUGCCGGCGCUGCUCCGUCCGUGGCACUUUGGAUUAUUCAAGAUUAUGUUGUAAUCCCUUUAAUCCUCAUUGCAUUAAGAUUUCAGUCAAAAUACGGCAACAGCGAAGCAGCACUCGGAAUCCACGCGCUCUCAAGCGGGCGUCGCCAUUGGCCGGCCGCCCGCACUUCCUCCCUAUUUACUCUCCCGUCUCUCCGCAUUGUCAACAAGCCGAGCAACAGAUAUGUGUGUUUGCUUUUGAGACGCCACGGCGAUUUAUUCCUGGCACUGAAACCCGUCCCCAGUCACCGCGCAGCGAAGACACAUAUUUACCAGCAGAGACGGCGCCCGAGGGCGGGGCCUGCAGCCGGCGAAAUGUUUGUCUCCGGCGGUGCGGCUGAUGUUGUCCUCCGUGUCCUCCGUGCCGGGCGGCUUCCAGCCAAAGCUGAAUGGGAUGCAGCCACUUUAUGAAGUCACUACAGGAAGACUUCUGUUCCUCCCCCGCUCAGCGGGAGCAUGUAGUCGGCGCAGGCGUGCGUCCGGCUUCGCCUCCCGGCGGGCUCCUACGUGCAGGAAGGUGCCAAACGUGCCGCAUUGACCGGUGGUGGAUGCGAGUUCGGCGAAAACACCAAAACCUCCCUGUGAAAAGUGAAAGAAUUCACAUGUUUCUGGAAUUAAAAUGCGAAGGCCGAGAGGCCGAGAGGCCGCAGGCGUUUUACCUUCAUGUGACGGAUGAUCCCCGCCGACCACCCCGAGAACCGCCCCCCCUCAUCCCCGCUUGAUCUGGAAGAUGCCAGACGUUGUUGUUGCCUUUGUUUCUGGGGGGGGAUCGCUCGGAGGUGGGAGGAGAAGCCGGCGCUGGUCGGUCUUCAAACCCUGUAAGAUCUCCGAGGCGCCUCAGAGUCGGGCUUCAAAGCGGCAGCAGAGGAGAUGAUCCUGAUCUGAUGUGGUUCUUGGUGCUACAGGCCAGCGUCUGGGGGGGGGGGGGGGGGGGGGGGGGGGGCGGGGCAGCAGCUCGGUGUUUCCAUGCUUCUAACGGAGGAAACGUUAUCCCUGACAAACAGAUCUCACCAUGAAACUGCUCCGCUUAAUGGCUUUUAUUAAGACAAUUCCUUUUUUCAAUUCAUAAAUAUGCAAAUAAAACAUAAUCUAGGAUCUAAUCUGCAAUCACAUGCAGAACAGGAAUGUAAACAUUGCUUCAUAUUAUUCUCCCCAGAAACAAAUAAACUGUGUAAAGAUGCAAAUAGACGAACUAGAGAAACAAACACGUCGGCGCCGAAUCUCUUUAAGGAGCACGAAGGAUUAGUUGUAGUACUUCUGGACGCGUAGUACUUCUGGACGUGUAGUACUUCUGGACGUGUAGUACUUCUGGACGCGUAGUACUUCUGGACGCGUAGUACUUCUGGACGCGUAGUACUUCUGGACGUGUAGUACAGCGUAGCCCCGUCUGGUUUAGACGUACACUUUUUGCACUUUAGCAGCAAACUGUCAGCGGCGCCGCCCACGCCGACACCAACGGCAUUCUGGGAACUCUGUCAGAAGCCCAAAAGUUGGCGGCGCACCACCUCUCCUCACUUGUGGCCUUUUGACUUUGCAGGCCGUGCAGAGCCGGCUGUCUCGCUGUGAGGGGGGUCGCGCGGGGGAGGGGGGGGGGGGUGAAAGUAGGUUACAGUUUGCUUCUAGGACAUGUAGCCGACCCCGUGACCCUGGCUCGGAUCCCGCUCGCAGACCCCCCUCAGCGGCGACGAGGGCGCCCCCCCCCUGUCGGUGGGGGCCCCGGGACGUGGCUGCCGGUGUCAAAGUGCACCGGCAGCCCGGAGAAGCUUUCACAUCGUGGCAACACUCAAACCGCCGUUCGUCCCUCCGUCCAACCGCCGCCAUUUGGGAUUUUUCUCUCUCGGCUCGUCCCCGUGACAACGGCGAGGGGGGAGUGGGUGGGGGGUGACGCAACCGAGAGCGCCGUGGCUGGUUUGGGUUCCGUUGAGUCAGAGCGGACCCCUGACGUCCCCGUAUCGUGCUGACAAGAAAACAACCACUGAGACGCACGGCGUCGCCGCGGAAACGUCCCCGCCGCCACGCCGAGGGUUAAAAAGACAGGAAGACGCGUGCGUGUGUCUGACGGCGUGCGGUCUAUCAUCGGUCUACAAUCAGGUCCCUUAAAGUCGCAUUUGCUCUUUAAUCAAGUCACAUUAUCAACACUGUGAAGGUGUUUUUUACAUGUUUGCCGGGUCGGGACUUAAAUAUCAGGCCUGAUGUUCUUCAUCCGGGUCUCCUGGACGUGGACGUGGAGCAGCAGGUGUGGACCCGAGCUCUUUCUGGGGAUGUUUCCCGCUCGUGCUUCUUGUUCCAGUUUAUACGAGUGCACACAACACGCCAUAACACAGAGACGUUUCGUCAACAGGCAUAAACAGAGCUCUCCGCGGGCCUCAGAGAACCACGAGAGUGUCCCGCGCCGUUAAGAGGUCGGCCUGUGUUGGAAACAAUGGCCAGUAAAAGAAUCCCCUCGCCGCUCCGACCGAGUGUUUACACAUGCUCAGCUGGAUCCGUCGGACCCCACCUCGCCGCCGACCUGCGCCGCCGUACAAAUAAACAGGAAGGCCGCGGGCGCUUGGACGAAGGCCACACUCAUAACUCACCGAGCGCCGAGUGUUUUACAGACGGCCGGGAAUAAACCGUCCAUCCGUGAGGAAGGAACGCAGCAUCCGAAAGCAGCGGCGUCCCCUGUGAGCAGCGGCGGGUGACCCGGGCCGGCCGCGUGUGGCGGUGUGUUCGUUGUGAACCACGCGUGAGCGUAGAUCUGGGCGGAGCAGCCGGCGGCGGCGCGGUGAACUCUCAGCGGCUCUGAUUGACGGAAAGUGUUCAUCUCGUUAGCGUUAAACAAGAGCGGGAAAUUGCCUCGUGUCCUCCUUUAAGACGCCCAGAUCUCCUCUGCCACACUCGGACAAACGUCAGCGAACAUGAAAGGAUCUUCAGCCGCUAUCUUUAUCCCGCCAAGUGCUCAAAUUAAGGUUUGCACAUGGACGCCGUGGAGACGCCAGCCACUCUGGGAGAUUAACGCCGGCGCGUCCUGGUGGCGUCCCCACAGCUGACGGCGGCGCAGAUCACGGCGCCGUGAUCUCAAAUUGCUUCUUUUCAUAGAAGCCGUGUGGUCAAUGCGGCACGGAAGCGCUCUGGAUUAUCCCGCCAAUCAGCAUCAGAAACUAAAUAAAAAAAGCAAAACUUUGAUCAAAUGCUGUUUUGGGAUCAUUUACUGGAGCUUUUGUUGAUCAGUGAGCAUUAAUAUAAAUAGAAAAUAAUGUUAACCAGUUAUUUUCUUUAAAUAUUUGACUGCGGCAUAGUUCAUCCAGGCAGAGUUCAGCUGAAAAUCCGCUUCACUUUGAUUUAUUUUUUGGAGUAGUUAUUCAUCUGCCCGGCGUUCACAAGUCCAGCAGGUUGCAGUUAAAUUAUGAGGAUGGAUUU
This is a long non-coding RNA of Gasterosteus aculeatus aculeatus (three-spined stickleback), 8514 nucleotides long. Lineage: Eukaryota; Metazoa; Chordata; Actinopteri; Perciformes; Gasterosteidae. The record is from Ensembl.